GAGGUUGAACGGCCACAUUGGGACUGAGACACGGCCCAGACUCCUACGGGAGGCAGCAGUGGGGAAUAUUGCACAAUGGGGGAAACCCUGAUGCAGCGACGCCGCGUGGAGGAAGAAGGUCUUCGGAUUGUAAACUCCUGUUGUUGAGGAAGAUAAUGACGGUACUCAACAAGGAAGUGACGGCUAACUACGUGCCAGCAGCCGCGGUAAAACGUAGGUCACAAGCGUUGUCCGGAAUUACUGGGUGUAAAGGGAGCGCAGGCGGGAGAACAAGUUGGAAGUGAAAUCCAUGGGCUCAACCCAUGAACUGCUUUCAAAACUGUUUUUCUUGAGUAGUGCAGAGGUAGGCGGAAUUCCCGGUGUAGCGGUGGAAUGCGUAGAUAUCGGGAGGAACACCAGUGGCGAAGGCGGCCUACUGGGCACCAACUGACGCUGAGGCUCGAAAGUGUGGGUAGCAAACAGGAUUAGAUACCCUGGUAGUCCACACCGUAAACGAUGAUUACUAGGUGUUGGAGGAUUGACCCCUUCAGUGCCGCAGUUAACACAAUAAGUAAUCCACCUGGGGAGUACGACCGCAAGGUUGAAACUCAAAGGAAUUGACGGGGGCCCGCACAAGCAGUGGAGUAUGUGGUUUAAUUCGACGCAACGCGAAGAACCUUACCAAGUCUUGACAUCCCUUGACGAUGCUGGAAACAGUAUUUCUCUUCGAAGCAAGGAGACAGGUGGUGCAUGGUUGUCGUCAGCUCGUGUCGUGAGAUGUUGGGUUAAGUCCCGCAACGAGCGCAACCCUUAUGGUCAGUUACUACGCAAGAGGACUCUGGCCAGACUGCCGUUGACAAAACGGAGGAAGGUGGGGAUGACGUCAAAUCAUCAUGCCCUUUAUGACUUGGGCUACACACGUACUACAAUGGCGUUAAACAAAGAGAAGCAAGACCGCGAGGUGGAGCAAAACUCAGAAACAACGUCCCAGUUCGGACUGCAGGCUGCAACUCGCCUGCACGAAGUCGGAAUUGCUAGUAAUCGUGGAUCAGCAUGCCACGGUGAAUACGUUCCCGGGCCUUGUACACACCGCCCGUCACACCAUGAGAGCCGGGGGGACCCGAAGUCGGUAGUCUAACCGUAAGGAGGACGCCGCCGAAGGUAAAACUGGUGAUUGGGGUGAAGUCGUAACAAGGUAGCCGUAGGAGGACCUGCGGCUG
This 1199-nucleotide ribosomal RNA is filed under the name metagenome. RNAcentral describes it as "bacterial SSU rRNA". It matches the Rfam family "Bacterial small subunit ribosomal RNA", at positions 296 to 1520 of the family's 1533-position model. The record is from RNAcentral.